GUGCUAUGGGUGUCCUAUUGAGGAAUUUGUAGCAGCACAUAUACUAAAAUUGCAACGACACAGAGAAGAUUAGCAUGGCCCCUGCGCAUAGGGAGUCUUAAACCGUCUAAAUGCUGUUU
RNAcentral lists this small nuclear RNA (119 nucleotides) under Urocitellus parryii (Arctic ground squirrel). The record is from RNAcentral. Lineage: Eukaryota; Metazoa; Chordata; Mammalia; Rodentia; Sciuridae.